UUGUCUUACUUGUUUGUUGUGGUCAUGGAGCGUUUGUCCUUUGAUUUUGUGGCUGCAAAAGCAUGUUUAUGCACUCCUGGUGCCCCUUAUGAUCCUCAUCAGUGGUGAUAAAACUCAAAGUUUCAUAAAUGGAAUUAUGGGAGAUAUCUUUUUAAUAGCAAGGAUCUGUGUCUUAAUAUUUGUAAAAUUUUCAUUCAAACUUAGCAAGAAAACAAUAAUUUUGUCUUGUUCCUCCUUCUCACGAAUUUUCUUUGUAAAAUCGCAUGUACUUGUUGCACACACACAAGUAGG
This 291-nucleotide long non-coding RNA is filed under the name Zostera marina. RNAcentral's name for it is "long non-coding RNA (ZMAR_LNC005326)". Lineage: Eukaryota; Viridiplantae; Streptophyta; Magnoliopsida; Alismatales; Zosteraceae. The record is from RNAcentral.